RNAcentral lists this ribosomal RNA (752 nucleotides) under Bryum argenteum. RNAcentral describes it as "partial 26S ribosomal RNA". It matches the Rfam family "Eukaryotic large subunit ribosomal RNA", at positions 36 to 791 of the family's 3401-position model. The record is from RNAcentral. Lineage: Eukaryota; Viridiplantae; Streptophyta; Bryopsida; Bryales; Bryaceae.
UAGCAUAUCACUAAGCGGAGGACAAGAAACUAACCAGGAUUUCCCUAGUAACGGCGAGCGAACCGGAAAGAGCCCAGCUUGAAAAUCGGGGCGUUUUGCGCCCCGAAUUGUAGUCUGGAGAAGGUCCCUCUGCGACGCGCCGGACCCAAGUUCCCUGGAAAGGGACGUCAGAGAGGGUGACAACCCCGUCGAGUCCGGAGUUCGUCGCUCCACGAGGACCUGUCUGCGAGUCGGACUGUUUGGGAAUGCAGUCCUAAGUGGGAGGUAAAUUCCUUCCAAGGCUAAAUAUUGGCAGGAGACCGAUAGCGAACAAGUACCGCGAGGGAAAGAUGAAAAGGACUUUGAAAAGAGAGUUAAAAGUGCUUGAAAUUGCUGGGAGGGAAGCGAAUGGAAGCUGCGGGUGCACCCCGGUUGGAUGUGGAACGGCUCGCGCUGGUCCGCCGCUCAACGCGGGGUGCUGGUCAGCGUGGGCUACCGCGGCGGGACAAGUGCGGGAAAUCGUUUCCCGCCCAUGCCGUUGCGGUGGCCGAGGAACGAAGCGCGCGCUGUCAAAGGCGUGGUCUCGACCAACUGCGCGCUCGGGACGCUGGCGUAUUGAGCUCUUCAUCCGACCCGUCUUGAAACACGGACCAAGGAGUCUAACAUGUAUGCGAGCCGGUGGGCGGCAAACCCAUUGAGGCGCAAGGAACCUGACAGGUGGGAGCCCGUUGAGGGCGCACCAUCGACCGACCGUGAUCUUCUGUGAAGGGUUC